RNAcentral lists this ribosomal RNA (649 nucleotides) under uncultured marine bacterium. Its description in RNAcentral is "bacterial SSU rRNA". It matches the Rfam family "Bacterial small subunit ribosomal RNA", at positions 87 to 771 of the family's 1533-position model. The record is from RNAcentral.
UCGGGACAGCGGCGAACGGGUUAGUAACGCGUGGGAACGUGCCCUUUAGUACGGAAUAGCCAUUGGAAACGAUGAUUAAUACCGUAUACGCCCCAAGGGGGAAAGAUUUAUCGCUAAAGGAUCGGCCCGCGUUAGAUUAGGUAGUUGGUAGGGUAAUGGCCUACCAAGCCGACGAUCUAUAGCUGGUUUGAGAGGAUGAUCAGCAACACUGGGACUGAGACACGGCCCAGACUUCUACGGAAGGCAGCAGUAGGGAAUCUUGGACAAUGGGCGAAAGCCUGAUCCAGCCAUGCCGCGUGAGUGAUGAAGGCCCUAGGGUUGUAAAGCUCUUUCGCCAGGGAAGAUAAUGACGGUACCUGGUAAAGAAACCCCGGCUAACUCCGUGCCAGCAGCCGCGGUAAUACGGAGGGGGUUAGCGUUGUUCGGAAUUACUGGGCGUAAAGCGCACGUAGGCGGAUUAAUAAGUCAGGGGUGAAAUCCCGAGGCUCAACCUCGGAACUGCCUUUGAUACUGUUAAUCUUGAGUUCGAGAGAGGUGAGUGGAAUUCCGAGUGUAGAGGUGAAAUUCGUAGAUAUUCGGAGGAACACCAGUGGCGAAGGCGGCUCACUGGCUCGAUACUGACGCUGAGGUGCGAAAGCGUGGGGAGCAA